AUUGAACGCUGGCGGCAUGCCUUACACAUGCAAGUCGAACGGCAGCACGGGUGCUUGCACCUGGUGGCGAGUGGCGAACGGGUGAGUAAUACAUCGGAACGUACCUUAUCGUGGGGGAUAACGCAUCGAAAGCUGUGCUAAUACCGCAUACGCCCUGAGGGGGAAAGCGGGGGAUCGCAAGACCUCGCGCGAUUAGAGCGGCCGAUGCCUGAUUAGCUUGUUGGUGGGGUAAAAGCCCACCAAGGCGACGAUCAGUAGCUGGUCUGAGCGGACGAUCAGCCACACGGGGACUGAGACACGGCCCAGACUCCUACGGGAGGCAGCAGUGGGGAAUUUUGGACAAUGGGGGCAACCCUGAUCCAGCAAUGCCGCGUGAGUGAAGAAGGCCUUCGGGUUGUAAAGCUCUUUUGUCAGGGAAGAAACACCGGCUCUAACACAGUCCGGGAAUGACGGUACCAUACGAAUAAGCACCUGCAAACUACGUGCCAGCCGCCGCGGUAA
This 501-nucleotide ribosomal RNA is filed under the name uncultured bacterium. Its description in RNAcentral is "partial 16S ribosomal RNA". It matches the Rfam family "Bacterial small subunit ribosomal RNA", at positions 30 to 523 of the family's 1533-position model. The record is from RNAcentral.